UGAAAGUGUACUGAACCAAAAUCGCUCACAAAUUUCUGAAUAUGUACUGAGCAACAGUAGGAGGUUCACGACCAUAGAGAGACUGGAAAGGGGUCAUACCCGCUGAAGUUUGAAACAAAGUAUUGAACAAAAAUUCCGCCCAUGGCAGCAUAGCAACCCACUGGGAAGGCUCCUCAGCGACAUAGCAAUGCAAGUAUUUGCAAAUACAAGAUGUCCAGAAAAGCA
This 225-nucleotide unclassified non-coding RNA is filed under the name Hevea brasiliensis (rubber tree). Lineage: Eukaryota; Viridiplantae; Streptophyta; Magnoliopsida; Malpighiales; Euphorbiaceae. The record is from RNAcentral.